GACGAACGCUGGCGGCGUGCUUCAUACAUGCAAGUCGAACGAGAACCGAUAGCUUGCUAUCGGGGAAAGUGGCGGACGGGUGAGUAAUAUGUAGAGAAUCUGCCCUUGAGUGGGGGACAACAGAGGGAAACUUCUGCUAAUACCCCAUAUGAGCUAACCUGAAAUGGUUAUCUUGAAAACUCCGGUGCUCAAGGAUGAGUCUGCAUCUGAUUAGCUAGUUGGCGGUGUAAUGGACCACCAAGGCGACGAUCAGUAGCCGGACUGAGAGGUUGAACGGCCACAUUGGGACUGAGAUACGGCCCAG
This 304-nucleotide ribosomal RNA is filed under the name uncultured bacterium. RNAcentral's name for it is "bacterial SSU rRNA". It matches the Rfam family "Bacterial small subunit ribosomal RNA", at positions 28 to 334 of the family's 1533-position model. The record is from RNAcentral.